GGGGAAUAUUGCGCAAUGGGCGAAAGCCUGACGCAGCGACGCCGCGUGAGGGAUGAAGGUCUUCGGAUCGUAAACCUCUGUCAGAAGGGAAGAAACUAGGGUGCUCUAAUCAUCAUCCUACUGACGGUACCUUCAAAGGAAGCACCGGCUAACUCCGUGCCAGCAGCCGCGGUAAUACGGAGGGUGCAAGCGUUAAUCGGAAUCACUGGGCGUAAAGCGCACGUAGGCUGUUAUGUAAGUCAGGGGUGAAAUCCCACGGCUCAACCGUGGAACUGCCCUUGAUACUGGACGACUUGAAUCCGGGAGAGGGUGGCGGAAUUCCAGGUGUAGGAGUGAAAUCCGUAGAUAUCUGGAGGAACAUCAGUGGCGAAGGCGGCCACCUGGACCGGUAUUGACGCUGAGGUGCGAAAGCGUGGGGAGCAAACA
This 426-nucleotide ribosomal RNA is filed under the name uncultured Desulfovibrio sp. RNAcentral's name for it is "bacterial SSU rRNA". It matches the Rfam family "Bacterial small subunit ribosomal RNA", at positions 356 to 774 of the family's 1533-position model. The record is from RNAcentral. Lineage: Bacteria; Pseudomonadati; Thermodesulfobacteriota; Desulfovibrionia; Desulfovibrionales; Desulfovibrionaceae.